GUAGUUUCAGGAUGGAAUCGUCGAUGAGAAAGCUCCUGCCAAGCCCGCAUCGCCGGACUGGGCUUCUCAAGGAUCAGCUCCAACUUGUGCCGAGAAAGGGCGAUGGCGGCCGCGAGGAUCGCUACGAGAUUGCGCCAAUCUCCGACCCCCUCUCCUUCGACAAGGGCUUCUUUCUCUUCAUCCGGGCGUGUCAGCUCCUCACGCGCAAGAUGGAAGGAGUGACAAUUGUGGUGGGAGUUGCCGGCCCCUCGGGCGCUGGUAAGACCGUCUUCACGGACAAGGUCGCGAGCUUCUUGCCCGGGAUUGCGAUCAUUUGCAUGGACAACUACAACGAUUCCAGCCUUGUCAUCGACGGGAACUACGAUGAUCCCAGGAUCGUGGACUACGAAAUUCUUCUAGACAACAUCAAGAGCUUGAGAGCUGGGAACUCUGCCGACAUUCCGAUAUAUGACUUCAAGCUCAGUCGUCGAGUUGGCUAUAGGCGUCUGGAGCAUCCAUCGACGAGAAUUGUGAUCGUGGAAGGGAUAUAUGCUUUGUGUGAGAAGCUACGUCCAUUCCUGGAUCUGCGUGUCUCUAUAACCGGAGGAGUCCAUUUUGAUCUCGUCAAGCGGGUUCUCCGUGAUAUCAAUCGCUCCGGCCAAGCUCCGGAAGACAUCAUCCACCAGAUAUCAGAAACGGUUUAUCCCAUGUACAAGGUGUUCAUAGAGCCGGAUCUAGCAACAGCACACAUCAAAAUACAAGGCAAAGAUCGAUCGCUCGUCGCGGAUAUCGGGAAGAAGCUGGGGCUCGAAGGCUCGUACAUUCCACGAUCUUAUAUAGAACAAAUACAACUGGAGAAACUCACUGCCGAAGUAGUGGCAUUGCCGGAGGACCUCAAGAACAAAUUAAGCCUGUAAACUACCACUGUUCCGGUAAGUCCAGUUUCAUCCAAAACUUAUAGCAGAAGCUUGAGCUGGAAUACCUCGAGGUUUGUCAUUUUGUUUUUCUUCCGAUCUCCAAAACACUCGAUUCACAGAGUUAAGUGUUUGAUUCGGUGGUGUCGCCCGACGGUCUCUACGCGCGCAACCGGGUGAUCGAGAUGUUUGGGCGCUCCGGUGAUUGACCGAUUGACGCGCAGGUGGUCUUCGAAUCGAUGCGUGCUAAGAACCUCUUCUCCUGGGUUCUCAUGAUCACGGCGUAUGCGAGGAGUGGUUGGCUCGAGAGCUCCAGAUCCAUCUUCGCAUGGAAUGCUAUCGUGGCGUCGUAUGCCUCGAAUGGGCAUCUGGAUGGUUCUUAGAGGCUUUUUAAUGAGAUGCCCGAGCAGAACUUGGUUUCCUGGACAUCGAUUCUUGUCACGUACUCGCAAAGCGGGUGUUACAACACGGCUAGGCGAGUGGUUGAUGAGAUGCCGCAGAGGAAUUUGAUCUCCUGGACCUCUAUGCUUGCAGCAAAUGCCGGGAGUGGGUAUCUGGCAGAAGCCGAAAGAAUAUUUAGUGCCAUGCCCCAGUUGGAUGUGA
This is an RNA transcript of Selaginella moellendorffii, 1496 nucleotides long. It is a transcript of the gene named uridine-cytidine kinase C, with no coding region annotated. The transcript has 7 exons. Lineage: Eukaryota; Viridiplantae; Streptophyta; Lycopodiopsida; Selaginellales; Selaginellaceae. The record is from RefSeq and is a predicted model, not a curated record.